CUGGUGCCAGCAGCCGCGGUAAUUCCAGCUCCCAUAGCGUAUAUUAAAGUUGUUGCAGUUAAAAAGCUCGUAGUUGAAUUUCGGAAUCUGUCCGUCGGUCGGGCUUCACUGUCCGCACUGGUGUGAUGGGUUUCUACCUUCUGAAUGAACCGGCAUGUCUUUAAUUUGGUGCGCCGGGGAAGCGAAACUAUUAC
This 194-nucleotide ribosomal RNA is filed under the name uncultured Acaulospora. RNAcentral's name for it is "partial 18S ribosomal RNA". It matches the Rfam family "Eukaryotic small subunit ribosomal RNA", at positions 561 to 755 of the family's 1831-position model. The record is from RNAcentral. Lineage: Eukaryota; Fungi; Glomeromycota; Glomeromycetes; Diversisporales; Acaulosporaceae.